GACGAACGCUGGCGGCGUGCUUAACACAUGCAAGUCGAACGGAAAGGCUCUGCUUUUGUGGGGUGCUCGAGUGGCGAACGGGUGAGUAACACGUGAGUAACCUGCCCUUGACUUUGGGAUAACUUCAGGAAACUGGGGCUAAUACCGGAUAGGAGCUCCUGCUGCAUGGUGGGGGUUGGAAAGUUUCGGCGGUUGGGGAUGGACUCGCGGCUUAUCAGCUUGUUGGUGGGGUAGUGGCUUACCAAGGCUUUGACGGGUAGCCGGCCUGAGAGGGUGACCGGCCACAUUGGGACUGAGAUACGGCCCAGACUCCUACGGGAGGCAGCAGUGGGGAAUAUUGCACAAUGGGCGGAAGCCUGAUGCAGCAACGCCGCGUGCGGGAUGAUGGCCUUCGGGUUGUAAACCGCUUUCGCCUGUGACGAAGCGUGAGUGACGGUAAUGGGUAAAGAAGCACCGGCUAACUACGUG
This 468-nucleotide ribosomal RNA is filed under the name uncultured bacterium. RNAcentral describes it as "partial 16S ribosomal RNA". It matches the Rfam family "Bacterial small subunit ribosomal RNA", at positions 28 to 507 of the family's 1533-position model. The record is from RNAcentral.